AUGCACGCUGGCGGCGUGCCUCAUACAUGCAAGUCGCGCGAACGGACGAGAAGCUUGCUUUUCUGAUGUUAGCGGCGGACGGGUGAGUAACACGUGGAUAACCUACCUAUAAGACUGGGAUAACUUCGGGAAACCGGAGCUAAUACCGGAUAAUAUUUUGAGCCGCAUGGUUCAAAAGUGAAAGACGGUCUUGCUGUCACUUAUAGAUGGAUCCGCGCUGCAUUAGCUAGUUGGUAAGGUAACGGCUUACCAAGGCAACGAUGCAUAGCCGACCUGAGAGGGUGAUCGGCCACACUGGAACUGAGACACGGUCCAGACUCCUACGGGAGGCAGCAGUAGGGAAUCUUCCGCAAUGGGCGAAAGCCUGACGGAGCAACGCCGCGUGAGUGAUGAAGGUCUUCGGAUCGUAAAACUCUGUUAUUAGGGAAGAACAUAUGUGUAAGUAACUGUGCACAUCUUGACGGUACCUAAUCAGAAAGCCACGGCUAACUACGUG
RNAcentral lists this ribosomal RNA (496 nucleotides) under uncultured bacterium. RNAcentral's name for it is "partial 16S ribosomal RNA". It matches the Rfam family "Bacterial small subunit ribosomal RNA", at positions 29 to 507 of the family's 1533-position model. The record is from RNAcentral.